Molecule: ribosomal RNA, 835 nt
Filed under: uncultured archaeon
Lineage: Archaea
Description: bacterial SSU rRNA
Rfam family: Archaeal small subunit ribosomal RNA
Source: RNAcentral
UCGACUAAGCCAUGCAGUCAGAGCACCUAGAGUGCUCGGCAAACGGCUCAGUAACACGUAGCUAACCUACCUUAUGGUGGCGGAUAACCUUGGGAAACUGAGGGUAAUACGCCAUAGUUGAUUAUUACUGGAAUGUAUUUUCGACAAAAGCUUUCGAGCGCCAUAAGAUGGGGCUGCGGCUGAUUAGGUUGUUGGUGGGGUAAUGGCCCACCAAGCCAUUGAUCAGUACGGGCUCUGAGAGGAGUAGCCCGGAGAAGGGAACUGAGACAAGGUCCCUAGCCCUACGGGGUGCAGCAGGCGCGAAACCUUUACAAUGCACGAAAGUGUGAUAAGGGGAUUCCACGUGCAGACUAUGUCUGCUUUUCUCAAGUUUAAAAUCCUUGGGGAAUAAGGGCUGGGCAAGACCCGUGCCAGCCGCCGCGGUAAUACGGGCAGCUCAAGUGGCGUUCGCGAAUAUUGGGCCUAAAGCGUGCGUAGCCUGUUAAACAAGUUCUUGGUGAAAGCUUGCGACUUAAUCGUGAGAAUGGCCAGGAAAACUGUUUGACUUGGGACCGGAAGAGGUCGGAGGUAUUCUUGGGGUAGGGGUAAAAUCCUGUAAUCCUUAGAGGACCAUCGGUGGCGAAGGCGUCCGACUGGGACGGGUCCGACGGUGAGGUACGAAAGCUAGGGGAGCGACCCGGAUUAGAUACCCGGUUAGUCCUAGCCGUAAAUGAUGUCUGUUUGGUAUUGCUGGGCUUACGAGGCCUCGCAGUGCCGUAGGGAAGCCGUUAAACAGACCGCCUGGGGAGUACGCCGCAAGGCUGAAACUUAAAGGAAUUGGCGGGGGAGUACUACA